RNAcentral lists this ribosomal RNA (406 nucleotides) under uncultured bacterium. RNAcentral describes it as "partial 16S ribosomal RNA". It matches the Rfam family "Bacterial small subunit ribosomal RNA", at positions 30 to 526 of the family's 1533-position model. The record is from RNAcentral.
AUUGAACGCUGGCGGCAGGCCUAACACAUGCAAGUCGAGCGAGCGGCGGACGGGUGAGUAACGUCUGGGCAACUGCCUGAUGGAGGGGGAUAACUACUGGAAACGGUAGCUACUACCGCAUACCCUCAGAUGUGCCCAGAUGGGAUUAGCUAGUAGAUGGGGUAAUGGCUCACCUAGGCGACGAUCACUAGCUGGUCUGAGAGGAUGACCAGCCAGACGGGAACUGUGACACGGUCCAGACUCCUACGGGAGGCAGCAGUGGGGAAUAUUGCACAAUGGAGUCAAGCCUGAUGCAGCAAUGCCGCGAGUAUGAAGAAGGCAUUCGGGUUGUAAAGUGCUUGCAGCGGGAAGGCGUUACCCGCAGAAGAAGCACCGGCUAACUACGUGCCAGCAGCCGCGGUAAUUC